CACAGGUGAGGACUUACCAGAGGCCUUGCUUGCAGCACCAGAGGCAGCCCCAGAAGCAAGGGAGCCAACCAAGGCACCCAAGGACUGAGUCUGUUCCCAGACAGCUGCUGGAAAAGUGCUGCACUAGGACAGCUUUCAAGUCUCGGCUUCUGAACUAAGGGAGCAAAUGGAGGCAAAUCAGGGUCAGCUUUGGCUCAAGGCAGUCCUACGGAGGCUCCAGGGAAAAGGGCAGUUUCAGUCUGUCUGGUGAUGGCCCGUUAAGGAGGAGGACGAUCAUGGGUUUCUACAUGCCUACAGCAUGGCUGACUGGCCACAGCAGGAAAAGACUAUGCCACGGACUGCUCUUUUUCUGUUACCUGCGGGUGACCUUUGAAAGAAUAUGGUUGGACAAUGGCUUGUGGUCAGAGUGCUGCUGGAAAUUCAGAGGCUGCUAAAUGCAACACCACUGUUUGGAAUGCAGUGUGAUUUCUGUGCACAGGCACAGCUCCUGUAGUCUGCAG
This is a long non-coding RNA of Gallus gallus (chicken), 500 nucleotides long. The record is from Ensembl. Lineage: Eukaryota; Metazoa; Chordata; Aves; Galliformes; Phasianidae.